UACGAAGGGGGCUAGCGUUGUUCGGAUUUACUGGGCGUAAAGCGCGUGUAGGCGGGUCGUUAAGUUGGGGGUGAAAUCCCGGAGCUCAACUCCGGAACUGCCUCCAAAACUGGCGACCUGGAGCAGAGGAGAGGCGAGUGGAAUUCCGAGUGUAGAGGUGAAAUUCGUAGAUAUUCGGAGGAACACCAGUGGCGAAGGCGACUCGCUGGACUCUUGCUGACGCUGAGACGCGAAAGCGUGGGGAGCAAACAGG
Molecule: ribosomal RNA, 253 nt
Filed under: uncultured bacterium
Lineage: Bacteria
Description: partial 16S ribosomal RNA
Rfam family: Bacterial small subunit ribosomal RNA
Source: RNAcentral